This 321-nucleotide long non-coding RNA is filed under the name Mytilus galloprovincialis (Mediterranean mussel). Lineage: Eukaryota; Metazoa; Mollusca; Bivalvia; Mytilida; Mytilidae. The record is from RNAcentral.
CGGAACUGCAUCACAAUGCCGCUGCUUCCUGGGUAACAAUUUACAUCGCGCCUUGUUAACAGCAAAAUGUUGUUCUGUCAUACAUGAUGAAAACAAAUACUUCUAUGAUGUCCAUGUAUGUGUCUGUAUACUUCAGCGAAGAAAAAAACGUCCCUUACAUCUGGAAAUACUUCCGAUGUCAUCCAAACUGACCUAUUCCCUUUCCCACGAAAAUCCGAUAAAAACAAAUCCACUGAAUGCAUGAACGAAAGGAAGAUUAGCUACACGAGGACCAAACGCAUUUGAUAUGUCACGUACAGGAAGCAAGCCGAACAUGGACAA